RNAcentral lists this ribosomal RNA (253 nucleotides) under uncultured bacterium. RNAcentral's name for it is "partial 16S ribosomal RNA". It matches the Rfam family "Bacterial small subunit ribosomal RNA", at positions 524 to 776 of the family's 1533-position model. The record is from RNAcentral.
UACGGAGGGUGCGAGCGUUAAUCGGAAUUACUGGGCGUAAAGCGCACGUAGGCGGUCGUUCAAGUCCGUUGUGAAAGCCCCGGGCUCAACCUGGGAAUGGCAAGGGCGACUGAGCGACUGGAGUGUAACAGAGGACCGUGGAAUUCCCGGUGUAGCGGUGAAAUGCGUAGAGAUCGGGAAGAACACCGAUGGCGAAGGCAGCGGUCUGGGUUAACACUGACGCUGAGGUGCGACAGCGUGGGGAGCAAACAGG